This 673-nucleotide ribosomal RNA is filed under the name uncultured eukaryote. Its description in RNAcentral is "eukaryotic LSU rRNA". The stretch from base 259 to 412 matches the Rfam family "5.8S ribosomal RNA". The record is from RNAcentral.
AAGUCGUAACAAGGUUUCCGUAGGUGAACCUGCGGAAGGAUCAUUAAUAAUUCCAAACCAAAAAUGUAUGGUUAUGGCGUCGAGUUUGACUCUUCACCUACCAUAUCUACCCUUGUGAAUGUACCUAUUGAAUGGCGACGCAAGUUGUCAUGCUUUUGCGCGAUGCUUCGGCUAACGCACUAGCACUUUUAUAAACACCCUUUUUUUAUAUGAACGGGUGAUUAAUGUCAAUUUGACAUGCCUAUUUUAAAUCGAAAUAACUUUUAACAAUGGAUCUCUUGGCUCUUGCAACGAUGAAGAACGCAGCAAUAUGCGAUAACUAAUGUGACUCGCACAAGCUCGUGAAUCAUCAAGUUUUUGAACGCACAUUGCACUUCCUGGUAUUCCGGGAAGUACACCUGUUUGAGUAUCAUUUAACCUCUCACGAUGUAUUCUUUUGAAGGAUAUACGUGGAUUUGAGCUUUACGCGGCGCAAGUUGCGAAGCUUUAAAGGUAGCGAUUCUAGCUUUGUUUGCUAUACAAGCGUGAUAAAAUCAUUUGUUCGCUUGGCAAGUAGAGUGUGAUGAAUACGUUGUGGAUAAUGCGGACGCUUUCGAGCGUACCCACGAACCCUUUUGAUCUCAAAUCAGGUGGGAGGACCCGCUGAACUUAAGCAUAUCAAUAAGCGGAGGAA